Molecule: non-coding RNA, 422 nt
Filed under: Perkinsela sp. CCAP 1560/4
Lineage: Eukaryota; Euglenozoa; Kinetoplastea; Prokinetoplastida; Perkinselidae
Description: Eukaryotic large subunit ribosomal RNA
Rfam family: Eukaryotic large subunit ribosomal RNA
Source: Rfam by way of RNAcentral
AGGCCUGAGGCGCGGUCGACCACCCGCUGAACUUAAGCAUAUCAUUAAGCGGAGGAAAAGAAAACAACCGUGAUUCCCCUAGUAGCGGCGAGCGAAGCGGGAGAAGCCCAAUCCGAAUCGGCGCAGCCGAGUUGUGGAGUAGUGAGGACGCCGGGGCGGACGUCGCGUGCACCAAAGUCUUCCUGGAAAGGAGCGCCAGAGAGGGUGAUAGCCCCGUGUACGUGCGCGCGCGCCCGCGCGACCCGGUGUCUGCGGAGUAGUACUGCUUGGGAAUGCAGUGCGAACGGCAGGUAUACCUCUGCCAAGGCUAAAUAUCAUGGGGAGACCGAUAGCGAACAAGUAGCGUGAGCGAAAGAUGAAAAGCACUUUGGAGAGAGAGUGAAACAGCACCUGAAGCUGUUGUGAGGUAAGGGAUGGAUCAC